AUUCUCCUGCCUCAGCUUCCGGAGCAGCUGGGACUGCUGGCGCCCGCCACUACGCUCGGCUAAUUUUUUUGUGUUUUUAGUAGAGACGGGCUUUCACCGUGUUGGCCUAGCGGUUCUCCAACUCCUGACCUCAUGAUCCCCCCGCCUCAGCCUCCCAAAGUGCUGGGAUUACAAGCGUGAGCCACCGCGACCCGCCAACACUCUUGACAACAGUGCUGUGCUAAGAACUUGGGGGACUUCAAAAAGUUCACCAGUUCCUGUGUCCAUGGGUGAAAAGAUUUUCUACAUCUUUCCUUGACUAGAAACAGAAGUCCUGAAACAAGGUACACCUUCUUGAGGCUUACUUGGUGAGUCUAAUUUGUCUUCUGGCACCACUGUGAAUUUGAAGGCUUACGUCUUCUUCCCUGAUCAUAUGUUUUCUACAUGUCAGGAAUAUAACGUCAGGAGGCCAGAGGCUUUGUCCUGCCUAAUGUGUUAUUUCCACACUGAAUAAAAGCACCUGAGUCCUGGUCUCAGAGUGAGAACAAUGUCUUCUAUGAUGAGUGGCAAACACAACAAGGCAUUUUAAAAAGGUUGUACAUCUAGCAAUACCUAACAAAAUAGGAAAUCAACUUGGAAAGCCAAUGGCUGUGUUUUGAGUUUAUGGAGAGCCAUAUGUGGCAAGGAACUGAGGGUGGCAUCCAGGCAACAGACUUCAAGAAACUGAGGCUGUCAGUCCAACAACCCACAAGAACUGAAUCUGACCAACAAUCACAGGAACAAACUUAGAAGUAUACUCUUUCCCAGACAAACCUUCAGAUGAGACCACAGCCCCAGCCAUAAGCUUGAAAACAAUCUCAUGAGGGACCUUGAGCCACAGGCAUGUAGUAAAGCUAUGCCAGGAAUCCUGCCUGCCCCACAGAAAAUGUAAAAAAAAUAAAUUUUUAUUGUUUUAAGCCA
This 939-nucleotide long non-coding RNA is filed under the name Homo sapiens (human). RNAcentral's name for it is "long independently transcribed non-coding RNA 2327, transcript variant 6 (LINC02327)". Lineage: Eukaryota; Metazoa; Chordata; Mammalia; Primates; Hominidae. The record is from RNAcentral.